Molecule: ribosomal RNA, 296 nt
Filed under: uncultured bacterium
Lineage: Bacteria
Description: partial 16S ribosomal RNA
Rfam family: Bacterial small subunit ribosomal RNA
Source: RNAcentral
GCGCCCUACGGGGCGCAGCAGUGGGGAAUAUUGCACAAUGGGCGCAAGCCUGAUGCAGCAACGCCGCGUGAGCGAAGAAGGUCUUCGGAUCGUAAAGCUCUGUCCUUGAGGAAGAAGGAAGUGACGGUACUCAAGGAGGAAGCCUCGGCUAACUACGUGCCAGCAGCCGCGGUAAUACGUAGGUGGCGAGCGUUAUCCGGAAUGAUUGGGCGUAAAGGGUGCGUAGGCGGCCUGCUAAGUCUGGAGUGAAAGGUACCGGCUCAACCGGUAUAGGCUCUGGAAACUGGCGGGCUAGA